This is a long non-coding RNA of Magallana angulata, 766 nucleotides long. RefSeq lists it as uncharacterized. The record is from RefSeq and is a predicted model, not a curated record. Lineage: Eukaryota; Metazoa; Mollusca; Bivalvia; Ostreida; Ostreidae. The transcript is spliced from 2 exons.
UGAUAAUUACAUUCAUGCAUAUUAUUCAUAUUUCAUCAUCAACAUCAUCAUCAUCAUCAUCCUAUAUUCCAUAUUUUACAUGUACAUAUUUAGAAACAGACUAAUAUCCCUAUAACUCCCUGUCUUUUAUGCAUCUAUCAAGUAAUCAUUACUUAAUUACCUUUUCUAGUGGCUUCUGAUAUUUUAUAGCCCCAAGUCAUUUCACCUGUAUGGUCACUUACAUACAUGUGGACAAGAUCAGGUGGUUUACUUAGCCAAUAGUAUGUUUUUAUGAUUUUUUCCCGCUUUAAAUGAGUAGCCUUUGUGACAGACCAAGGCUAGGAUUCUUAUCAGUAAGACCUGAUUUCUUUAAGAGAUGAUUUAACUUAUUUAUUUAUUUCAUCAACAUAUUUGAAGCAGUCAGUUAUAGUAAGUGUUCUAUUUUUUGGUAUUCUUGAACUUUAAUAAAUAAUUUAAUAGAUAAUAAUGAUAUUUUCUGUUAAUUGGUACAUUUGGCUAAUUCUACUUUUUGAGGUUAUAAUACCUUAUUUAUGAAAGAAUGUAUUUUAUAAAUUAUCCCAGUAAUUCAUAGUUUUGAUAUCUAAGCUAUAGUAUCUCAUUUCUAAUAUAUGUGAAAGGUUAGUUAUUGUUACCAUACUUAAUACUUGUAGUUAGAGACUACCAUUGUCAGAGUAAUCUGCAGGAUUGUGCAUGAAACCUUGUUCCAUAAACAGGGUUUAAAUCCUUUAAUCCUAUCCAUGUAUCCGAAUAAAUGAACGAAGAACCC